GUCGAACGCUGGCGGCGUGCUUAACACAUGCAAGUCGAACGCAGUGGCGAACGGGUGAGUAACGCGUAAUCAACCUGCCCUUCCGAGGGGGACAACAGUUGGAAACGCCUGCUAAUACCGCAUCCUGUAGGAGGGGGUUGCGUCUGAUUAGCUAGUUGGAGGGGUAAUGGCCCACCAAGGCGAUGAUCAGUAGCCGGUCUGAGAGGGUGGACGGCCACAUUGGGACUGAGACACGGCCCAGACUCCUACGGGAGGCAGCAGUGGGGAAGCUUCCGCAAUGGACGAAAGUCUGACGGAGCAACGCCGCGUGAGUGAUGAAGGCCUUCGGGUUGUAAAGCUCUGUUAAUCGGGACGCGGUACCGGAAUAGAAAGCCACGGCUAACUACGUGCCAGCAGCCGCGGUAAUUC
Molecule: ribosomal RNA, 408 nt
Filed under: uncultured bacterium
Lineage: Bacteria
Description: partial 16S ribosomal RNA
Rfam family: Bacterial small subunit ribosomal RNA
Source: RNAcentral